RNAcentral lists this long non-coding RNA (643 nucleotides) under Vulpes vulpes (red fox). Its description in RNAcentral is "lncRNA (ENSVVUG00000003199.1)". Lineage: Eukaryota; Metazoa; Chordata; Mammalia; Carnivora; Canidae. The record is from RNAcentral.
CCAAAGCCAGCAUUAGGGAUGUGCAAGUGACUACUGAACAAUCCAACUGCUUGCCGAGACUCUCAUCGGAGGUCCUCUGUGUCCUUGCACAUCGUUGGACGGUUAUUCUGGCAAUGCCGAAGUGCUUCAAGUGGAAGGGAAAGGGAACUCACAUUCGCUAAGCACCCGCACCGUGCCAAGCACUGCACUCCCUGCCUCACCCAUGAGAUCUUCAUCUGAUCCUCUCACCAAAUUCAAGAGAUCAGCUUCUGCUGUGGAAAUGGAGCCUUGGAGUGGUGUGCAUGAUAAGAUGUUGAGUAAACCUGCAGGAAAGGAAGGCCCAUCAUUCAUUCACCAAACAGAAACAUACAAGAGAACAAAGAGAGCCUAGCGCGGGGUGGUUUCAUAUUUUACAUGGAAAGAGGCUACAAUUACGUGUGUGGUCAGACCCACAGUGGAAUCCUUCUACCUGUGAAUGUACCCGCUGGGACCUCUAUCUACUAUGGACUCCAAACGCCUAAGAGUUGCCUACUUUGGGUUUUUCUGCCCCUUCUGUUCCACCUACUUUGCAGCUGGGGAGUCCUGGGUCUAGGUUCUUCUGGCUCUCCUGUGAGGCUUGAAAACACCGACACCAGUCCCUGGGAAGACUUGUCAACACUACCAG